UUUUUUUUUUCCUUGCUUCUGAAAUAAAGCCUGCAUGAGAGCCAAAAUUUAGUAGAAUAUUUGCUCUGCCAUAGUGCCAUAGUGCUGUUUGUUGAAAAACAUUUGCUUAUCAGGCAUUUAUUUUCCAUGCUUAGAUUAAUAUAUUGCUGAAUAGCCACAGACACUUAAUUUUUAUGUCUGCAUUUUAGAAUUGUUGUGGCUUAUAAAUUUACCUUUAUAAAUAUAAAUAAUUUCCUAAUAUCGAAAUGAUUAUAAUUAAAACCAAGGUUAAAAAUAAUAUUGAUGUAUUUAUUAGUCAAGUACUAAUAAUGAAGAGAACACUCGUCUUAAUAUUUCCUUUCCCUUCUAGAUUCUGACUGUGGUUUUGAAAACCAUUACCUUGGAAACAGUUGCUGUGAAACACUACCCUUUGAAUCUAAGAAGGGGCCACUCAUGUGCCCCCACCAAUGGCUUCCUUGAGGUGACGUUAUCUGUGUAGACCAGCACCAUCUAAUAGAAAUUUUGCUAAUGAUCAAAUGUUCUCUCUUCGUACUGUCCAAUCUGGUGGACAUUAGACCAUUGUGCACUUGACAUGUGGCUAGUGAGACUAAGGAAAUGAAUUUUAAACUUUAAUUUUAAUGAGUUUAAGUUUAAAUGAUCAUAAGUGAAUAGUGCCCAUCAUAUUGAACAGUGUCAUCCCCCCAUUCUCACAUGCUUCCAACAGCAAUUUCCAUCCAAGGGGCCUGGAACUUUUUUCACCAACAACAAUUAGUAGUCAAUCAUUUUUCUUCACUAUCUCAAUGUCCUUAGCACCUGGAAUCAUGCAUUCUGAUAGGUGGCUUUUCAACAAGUGCUUGUGUUGGAAUCAGACAGUUCUUUUCAAUAUUUUAAGAAAAAAGCUGCCUCCCACACUUGAAAAAGAUCUUUGACUGACGUAUGUCUGGGGCAGCACAUUUCCCUGGGGCCCCCUUUUGCAUCCGGACUACUCUUUGUUUCUUUCUUUACAACAUUCACCAGUAGUAACAGCUGUAUUUGUUGAAGAGCUGCUAUGUUACGAGAAAGGAGAACAGUCCCUGUAUGUAAAUUUCCUAAUUUCCAUAACAACCCUAUAAAUUAGAUAUCGUAUCUCCAAUCUGGGGGGAGAAAAUCAGAGAUUUAAGUAACUUAGCCAAACUCUAGCAACUGGUAAUUGGCAAAAUCAGGGCUUUCAUGUACUGUAUAUUCUCAUUCUCUCAUCCUACGUGAGCUGGAGAUUCUUAGUUUCGCCACUGACUAGCUGCCUGGCCUUGGGACGUCAUUUAUUCUCCCUGACCUUCAGUUUCCAAACCUGGAAAAUGAGGAAUUAACAACGGAUGCCUCCAGGGCAGAUGGGGAGUUAGCCUGAGGCUUUAUGAGAGCCCUCCAGGUGCACAGGGGUGCAGGGCUUGCCUCCAGGGCUGUCUUCAAUUCCUUCCCUAUUCCUACUGGCCUGUGAACUUAUUUUUUCCUUGCUUUUUUUUUUUUUAUUGUUAUUAUUGGUAAAAAUGCUCAGCUGAACAGAAUCUCAUCCAGCAGAUAUUUAGUGAGUCUCUGCUGUGAUCAGGAACCAUGCUGACUGUUGAACACAAUCAUCAGCUGAAUUCAAAUUCUAGAAACCUGAGUAUAUCCUUUUCUAGCUAACAUCUGUUGAGAGUUCACUACAGUUCAGCCCUUCUAAAUGCUUUACAUAUAUAACUCACACAAUCCUCAUAGUAACACUUUGUUAGCAGUGACUGUUAGGAUUCCCCACCACACAGUUGAGGAAACUGAGGCACAGAGAGGCUGAGCUACUUGCCAGAUGUGACACAACUUAUAAAUGAUGGAGCUGGAACUCUGAUCCAGUCAAGCUGGCUGCAAAGCCCCCACUCCUAACCGUAAGGCUCUAAGGCCCCCCCAUCCUUGUGUUUGCAGGUUAAUAGGAGGAAGUCAUCCUGGAACCAGGGCAGAAAGGAGCACUUUCAAGAGGUCCUCAAACAACUCCUUGAGUGUGGGACCCAGGAAAUUUAACAAAAAUCCCCUACCCCUGGACAAGCAGAGUAGGACUAACUCCAUUUUGGGCUACACCCGCCACCUCCCCUAUGACCCCCACACGACCUGCUUAUUGCUUAAGGCGCUGCCCCCCCUAGUCAGGCCGCUGGGCACACCCUCAUCGGAAAUCGGCUCAUAACAAUGUAACCCUGCUCUGUGCCCGCCAAAACUGCGCGCGGAUUCUGACCAAAGUAAUAGGCCAGGUCAAGUGGAUCCUAUAGGGUAAGGUGUAAUUCUAUCGGCCACCUGCGUGUGGACCGACAUGACUGUGCAACUUUCUGCGUAUCCCAUGGGCCACUGGCCCCUAUAAAGCUGCUACGCCUCUUAGUCUCGGGGUCCAAGUCCCUGCUCCGCUGUGUCGGGUGCACUUGGACCCAAGCCCAAGCUUGUAAAUAAACCCUCGUGUGACUGCAUCGGUGUCGGCUCCUCGGUGGUUUCUCGGAUUCGCAAUCUUGGGCACAACAUUGAGCACUGCCUGCAAACAAAACAUGCUGUAGGCUGGAUGGGGAUACAAAGAUGUGUAAGAGUUAUUCUCCACCCCCGGAAACUAGAUUGUAAGUCUAACAAAGAGCAUGAUUAAAAAGAACAUGCUUACUUGUAAAGCAAGAAAGGUGUGGUAAGUGCUAAAUUGCUGACAGUCCUAUGAACUUCACAGAGAAAUCAGUUCUUAUUCAGAAACAUUUGUGAUGGAGAGCGUGUCACCUGUGCCUUAAAAGAAGGAUGCAAUUUCAGUAGAUGGAGAAGAGGCAAAGAAGAGAACUUUCCCAGUAGACCAAAAGACAGGAGUCAUGGGAUGCAGGUGAGACACAGGGAGGCUUUUCUCUGACAGUCAGCAGGGGCUCCUCUUGCUGGGACCUGCAGCAUCUGUGGGAAUAAGUGACUUAGACAAAGGGGGGGGGGUUGUAAAGAGGCAAAGGCCAUGGGCAGAACUGUGAGGACUGGCCACCCUCAUGGGGCAAGAGGAGCAGAGGGGCCACCCCCCUGGCAGGUAGAGGAGAGGAGGAGCAGGAGGUCCGGUGUCUCAGAAGUUGUGGGAGGAAGAGAGCGGAAAUAGCCAGGGAUCAAGAGUGCAAACAACAUAGAGACACCAAGAAAAGAUAAAAGCAGAAAAUAAGUUUUUGGCUUCAGUAUCUAGGAGAUGAUGGGUUGUUCUUCAAGGGGGCUGUUCCAAGGAAACAGCAAAAUGGGCCUGGACUGGUGAGUACUCAGUGAAGGUGGGAGGGCCAGGGGCUAGCCAUGGAGAGGGAGCUGCUAGCAUCAUCCCCAUGGAAACAGAGGCAGUGGCCCACCCUUUAAGCAGGAGGUGCAGAGAGGAAGGGUGGUAGUUGAAAAUAUGCAAAAAGGCAUCAAAGUAAUGGCUCAAGGAGACUCAAACAGGACACCCCACUAAAGAUAGCCAUGGCAAAAAGCGAACUAGCCUGGUGUGCAGCAAGCCUUUGAGGGCAGGCAGGCUUGAAAAUCUUAGUAAAGUUUGAGCAAAGGGUGUAACUGGUUCUGUCCCCUCUCUUGUCUCAAGAAUCCAGGCAAUUGCUCACUUUCUGAGAUUUUUCAGGGGCGACCUGUGGGAUGAUGGCAAAUGCCCAAGGGCUCCGCCCCAAUGUGAAGGCCCCACUCCUAGGGCCAAGGGCACCUGAGGCAACCGGGAUCCAGCUCCAGCCUCCUUGGGCAGGCUGUGCAUGUGAGUCAAGACCCCAGCUCAGCACAGGAAGCCAGUGGGGUAUCAGACCGGCACCUGGAGACAACCUGUCUCUCCAAAUCUGCUGGUCUUUUCUUCCUCUUCGGGGAGGUGCAGAGGCGUCCAUUCCAGUGUGCUUUAGACAUCAGUCUCUGCGCUGGGUUCCCUACCUAGCUUUCAGGAGGCCCUGCCAUCCCCAGCUCUCAGGCUCUACCCUGGGGUGUAGGGGAGUGUAGGGAAGGACCGCUGUCCCUCCUCCCUUUCGCUCUCUGCUUUCUGAGUGUCCACACCCCACACCUUGGGUCACUAUCCGCCAGUACAAUGAGGUGGGGGGGGCGGUGUGCCGGUGCUGUCUUUCGCUUGUGUAGACGCCACACUGGUCUGCCCUCUCACAAGUCUGGGCUCUGCUGGACCAAAGAGGCGGACGCCCAGCUAAGAAUGGGUAGAAGCCUCGAGGGGCUUUCCGGGAACCCAGUUUCCAGCCCCCUGCGAGGUCCCGACCGACAUUCCCCACACCCAUCACUCUUUUCCGCCCAAAUUUAGAGGUCUCCGACUUUUAGGUCUUUGUGUAGAGUUCAACAGCGCCGCCCUCUGGCGCCAGGUUGUGAGUGAGCACAGAGCAGAGGCACAGGGCUUAAAAAAAAAAAAAAAAAAA
Molecule: long non-coding RNA, 4355 nt
Filed under: Canis lupus familiaris (dog)
Lineage: Eukaryota; Metazoa; Chordata; Mammalia; Carnivora; Canidae
Description: lncRNA (ENSCAFG00845027173.1)
Source: RNAcentral